AAAUGUGGUUUUUAACUUGUUUUUGUGGCAUUUCUCUGAUGAUACAGGACAUCAAUUACGCAAGUUAAGAUUAAAAUGGCAUUUCUGAGUAUUUCUUUAUUCAAAUUUUUGUGAAUAGGGAGUAGAGGAAAAAAUGCUGUUGGAAAAAGAGCGUAUUUGUGAUGUAGAAAACACGGCAUGCUGGCUAGAACCUCCUUGUUCUUAUCCGUUCUGAUGCCUCCACUUGCAGACGAAUAGAUCCAUGUAUGGCUUCGUUUUCACAGCAUCUGGCUCAAAACUGGACGGCGGAAUAGCCUCAAUAUUGCUUGCCGUUUUUAUUGCACUGCUGAUGUUAAGUUUGGCGUGUGAGGGGCUGCAAGCUAGCGGCAGGGUGUGUAUUGAUGGAUGACGGGAAGAGAGGGCAGGGUUGCCCUGUGUCAACAGUUCCGCCAACAACUCAAAAGCAACUUUCUAAAUAACUACUGCUGCUCUGCAGUAACUAGUUUUUUAUAUUUUGGCUAAAAAAAAUGGCAUAAUUAUAAUUCAAAGACCACUGGAUUUAAAAAUAGAUCAAAAAUGAUCAGAGUAGGACUUCGAAACAUCAGAAACGAGGUGCAGGUUCACGGAAAACAAUGAACAGAUGCAAACAGGAAAUUACAAAAGGCUCUUUCAGGCAACAACCAUGAACACUCAUCCUAAUGGGAUGAUUCAUAAACAAGAAACAGCUGUGGUGAUUACAAAUUACAGCCAAGUGUGAGCAACACAUAGAAAAACAAUUAAGGUCCAACAAAAGCAGGAAAAAUAUAAUCCUUUUUUAUGACAAAUACACCUUCUAUCUAUAAUAUUGUGUCAUUUGGCACACAGUCUCUUCCACACUUGGAAAUUUUGGUGUGGGUUUCUUUAAAAUAGCUGUUUUCUCUAGGUCGUUCCAGAACAUCAUUAAGGUGGACCAACCCCUUACUUUACUCUAUCCCACCCUGUCAUCCAAUUAUCAGCCUUCUUUCAUGAGAAGUGGAAGUCGCUGUCCACAGGAAAUAAAAAUUAGAAAUCGUCUCAUGCAGGUAGAAUCACCAAAUAGCUGGAAAAGGAGGUAUUUCAGCCUUUUCAAAUGAAGUCACAAACUUCUUUUUUUCUUGGGGGAAAUUUGUUGCAAUGCAGUGACUUGCUGAAGAACUGGUUGUUGGCAGAGUCUUCCUGCGGGCGGCCUGGCUUGGAGAUAAAUUGCUGGAGGACUUAUGGAGAACAAGGGGAACAGAAGCUAAAGUGACCAAGCGUGACGGAUGUGGAUGAGUCUGCAACAACUGAUAAAAUGCCAGAGGACCGCUGAAGUCCAGCUUUGGCUUUGCUCACGUCCUUCACGCACCGACGUUCAUCCAAAAUCUCUGGAUUCAUUCAAGGAUUUUCUGCACUGCAGAGAGAGAAAUAUGCAAAGGAAUUCUGAGCUCAGACUAUCCCUCUUUGUAAAUAUUUCAACGAUUUUCUUGUGCAUUUGUUGUUAAACAGAGGUUUCUCUGCCUGUGUUUGUUUCAUUUGUGACUGGUUUUUAAUCUGUGUGCAUCUUGUUGUGUGCUAUAUUCUACUAUUUUCAGUUACUGUCAUUGUAAUUUUAAAACGUAGAUUUAUCCAAUUUUUGACAGAUCAAACAAUGUCACAUUCGUUUUCAUGUCUGCACUUUAAAUCUUUCUACUUCUUUACUCAUAAAAAGUCCACAAGCUUUCCUGUUUGUUUGUUUUUUAGAUUAGGUGUCAGUUAGACCAUCAACAGUGUCAAUGUCAAAUGACUGUAAACUAGUAGGACAAUGAGCCCAAAACAAACAAAAUUGAGCUUUCAAUUUUACAUAAUCCCAAUCCAGGCAAUGCCAGAAUCAGAAAUAAAACCUAAUCUAACAGAAGUUUGGUGACCAUAGUGUUUUGCUAUUGCAAAUGCUGCCAAAUAAGUCAAUUUUAGGUUAAAUCUAGAAAUAUUUUAUUCAAGUUUUAUUCUUUAUCCAAAGAAGGCAGAAUCCUGCUCUGUGACACACUGGUAAACCUGCCCAGACCUGGCCUUCAGCAGGAUAAGCUCCAGCAACCAGAUGACAG
Molecule: non-coding RNA, 2057 nt
Organism: Oryzias latipes (Japanese medaka)
Lineage: Eukaryota; Metazoa; Chordata; Actinopteri; Beloniformes; Adrianichthyidae
Source: RefSeq, a predicted model, not a curated record